AUUUUCUUCCUCUUCGUCUUACUUUCUGCAAUGGCGAGAUCAGGCCCUCCUAAUCUCGUCGGCUCCAUGGACGAAAUACGAAGAAUAUUCAACAAGUUUGACAAAAACGGCGACGGAAGGAUCUCGUCCUCGGAGGUUAUUGACAGCCUGGGUGAGCUCGGCACCACAAUAUCAGCAGAGGAGGUCCACUGCAUGAUUCAGGAGUUUGACAAGGACGGGGACGGCCACNACCUCGACGAGUUCGUCGACUUCAUUCAGCGCGGCUCCGAUGGAACAACGCAGAGCGGCGGUGCGAACAAGGAGCUGAAGGAUGCUUUUGAUAUGUACGAUAUUGAUAAGAAUGGGUUGAUUUCGGCGAAUGAAUUGCACAAGGUUAUGAGGAUGCUUGGGCUUAAAUGCACGUUGAGCGAUUGUACUAAGAUGAUUCGUCAGGUCGACCAAGACGGCGACGGCAACGUCAAUUUCGAGGAGUUUAAGAAGAUGAUGACUAACGGGUUAGUGUAAGAUUAAACAACAGUUACGUGGUUUAAUUUGCAUGUGUAAAUAAUAAGGCUUUAGUUAGGACCGUUUUAUCGUAGUUUCCAAUGUCGUUUCUGCCUUGAAUUCUCGAAAUUGACGUUGCCGUCGCCGUCUU
RNAcentral lists this unclassified non-coding RNA (634 nucleotides) under Hevea brasiliensis (rubber tree). Lineage: Eukaryota; Viridiplantae; Streptophyta; Magnoliopsida; Malpighiales; Euphorbiaceae. The record is from RNAcentral.